UUCGCCCUUAGAGUUUGAUUCUGGCUCAGGAUGAACGCUGGCGGCGUGCCUAACACAUGCAAGUCGAACGGGGCUGUUUGAAAGAUCUUUUCGGAGUGAUUUCUUACAGCUUAGUGGCGGACGGGUGAGUAACGCGUGGAUAACCUGCCUUUCACAGGGGGAUAGCAGCUGGAAACGGCUGGUAAUACCGCAUACGCUCUUAAGACCGCAUGAUCUUAAGAGGAAAGAUUUAUCGGUGAGAGAUGGAUCCGCGUCUGAUUAGCCAGUUGGCGGGGUAACGGCCCACCAAAGCGACGAUCAGUAGCCGGCCUGAGAGGGCGGACGGCCACAUUGGGACUGAGACACGGCCCAGACUCCUACGGGAGGCAGCAGUGGGGGAUAUUGCACAAUGGGCGCAAGCCUGAUGCAGCGACGCCGCGUGAGUGAAGAAGUAUUUCGGUAUGUAAAGCUCUAUCAGCAGGGAAGAAAGGCUCGCAAGAGAGAUGACGGUACCUGACUAAGAAGCCCCGGCUAACUACGUGCCAGCAGCCGCGGUAAUACGUAGGGGGCAAGCGUUAUCCGGAUUUACUGGGUGUAAAGGGAGCGCAGACGGAACUGCAAGUCUGAUGUGAAAGCCCGGGGCUCAACCGCGGGACUGCAUUGGAAACUGUAGAUCUGGAGUGCCGGAGGGGCAAGCGGAAUUCCUGGUGUAGCGGUGAAAUGCGUAGAUAUCAGGAGGAACACCGGCGGCGAAGGCGGCUUGCUGGACGGCAACUGACGCUGAGGCGCGAAAGCGUGGGGAGCGAACAGGAUUAGAUACCCUGGUAGUCCACACUGUAAACGAUGAAUACUAGGUGUGGGGGGACUGACCCCCUUCCGUGCCGGAGUUAACACAAUAAGUAUUCCACCUGGGGAGUACGACCGCAAGGUUGAAACUCAAAGGAAUUGACGGGGGCCCGCACAAGCAGUGGAGUAUGUGGUUUAAUUCGAAGCAACGCGAAGAACCUUACCAGGUCUUGACAUCCGACUAACGAAGUAGAGAUACAUUAGGUGCCCUUCGGGGAAAGUCGAGACAGGUGGUGCAUGGUUGUCGUCAGCUCGUGUCGUGAGACGUUGGGUUAAGUCCCGCAACGAGCGCAACCCCUGCCAAUAGUUGCUACGCAAGAGCACUCUAUUGGGACCGCUACCGACAAGGUGGAGGAAGGUGGGGAUGACGUCAAAUCAUCAUGCCCUUUAUGACCUGGGCUACACACGUACUACAAUGGUCGUUAACAGAGGGAAGCAAUACCGCGAGGUGGAGCAAAUCCCUAAAAACGAUCCCAGUUCAGAUUGUAGGCUGCAACUCGCCUAUAUGAAGUUGGAAUUGCUAGUAAUCGCGGAUCAGCAUGCCGCGGUGAAUACAAUCCCGGGCCUUGUACUCACCGCCCGUCA
Molecule: ribosomal RNA, 1410 nt
Filed under: uncultured bacterium
Lineage: Bacteria
Description: 16S ribosomal RNA
Rfam family: Bacterial small subunit ribosomal RNA
Source: RNAcentral